RNAcentral lists this ribosomal RNA (406 nucleotides) under uncultured bacterium. RNAcentral's name for it is "partial 16S ribosomal RNA". It matches the Rfam family "Bacterial small subunit ribosomal RNA", at positions 30 to 526 of the family's 1533-position model. The record is from RNAcentral.
AUUGAACGCUGGCGGCAGGCCUAACACAUGCAAGUCGAGCGAGUGGCGGACGGGUGAGUAAUGUAUGGGGAACUGCCCGAUGGAGGGGGAUAACUACUGGAAACGGUGGCUAAUACAGCAUACUAUCGGAUGACCCCAGAUGGGAUUAGCUAGUAGGUGGGGUAAAGGCUCACCUAGGCGACGAUCCCUAGCUGGUCUGAGAGGAUGACCAGCCACACUGGGACUGAGACACGGCCCAGACUCCUACGGGAGGCAGCAGUGGGGAAUCUUGGACAAUGGGCGAAAGCCUGACCCAGCCACGCCGCGUGAGUGAAGAAGGUCUUCGGGUCGUAAAGCACUUUUGUCAGAGAAGCGGUAUCUAACCAAGAAGCAACGGCUAACUCCGUGCCAGCAGCCGCGGUAAUAC